CACGUAGGAGACGAGCGUUAUCCGGAUUUACUGGGUGUAAAGCGCGUGCAGGCGGUUCAGUAAGUUGGAUGUGAAAGCUCCUGGCUUAACUGGGAGAGGUUGUUCAAGACUGCUGGACUAGAGGAUGGCAGAGGGGAGUGGAAUUCCGAGUGUAGCGGUAAAAUGCAUAGAUAUUCGGAAGAACACCAGUGGCGAAGGCGGCUCUCUGGGCCAUAACUGACGCUCAGACGCGAAAGCUAGGGUAGCAAACGGG
Molecule: ribosomal RNA, 253 nt
Filed under: uncultured bacterium
Lineage: Bacteria
Description: partial 16S ribosomal RNA
Rfam family: Bacterial small subunit ribosomal RNA
Source: RNAcentral